This 428-nucleotide ribosomal RNA is filed under the name Actinomycetes bacterium. RNAcentral describes it as "Actinobacteria bacterium partial 16S ribosomal RNA". It matches the Rfam family "Bacterial small subunit ribosomal RNA", at positions 355 to 776 of the family's 1533-position model. RNAcentral also lists the same sequence under 1 other name. Lineage: Bacteria; Bacillati; Actinomycetota; Actinomycetes. The record is from RNAcentral.
UAGGGAAUCUUCCGCAAUGGCGAAAGCCUGACGGAGCAACGCCGCGUGAGUGAUGAAGGUCUUCGGAUCGUAAAACUCUGUUAUUAGGGAAGAACAAAUGUGUAAGUAACUAUGCACGUCUUGACGGUACCUAAUCAGAAAGCCACGGCUAACUACGUGCCAGCAGCCGCGGUAAUACGUAGGUGGCAAGCGUUAUCCGGAAUUAUUGGGCGUAAAGCGCGCGUAGGCGGUUUUUUAAGUCUGAUGUGAAAGCCCACGGCUCAACCGUGGAGGGUCAUUGGAAACUGGAAAACUUGAGUGCAGAAGAGGAAAGUGGAAUUCCAUGUGUAGCGGUGAAAUGCGCAGAGAUAUGGAGGAACACCAGUGGCGAAGGCGACUUUCUGGUCUGUAACUGACGCUGAUGUGCGAAAGCGUGGGGAUCAAACAGG